CAAAGUUCCCCAAAGUUCUUUAAUGGAACUGAUAAAUCUAUCAGCACAGCAGCCAUUUAGAAACUAGAUUUCUGUGACCGAAUAUACACAGACCUGGGAAGGAAAGCCAUGUGAGGACAGAAGCAGAGAUCAGAAUGAUGCAGCUACAAGUCACGGAACAGAAGAAAGAACUCUCAGGAGGAGGUGAUAUUUAUGACGAGGUCUGAAAAAUGUCAAGCUGAUUUGGAGGAGCUGGCUUUGAAAGGAUAUUCUUUAACUUGCGGUAAAGAAGUCAUGUUGAAGAGCAAGUUACUUUGGAGCCUUCUUCCCUAAACCAAGAGCAGCAGAGAAUAAUUUCAUUCUACCACUGAUAUUUUAGGACCAAUGAAAUUACUAUGAAUUCUGGGACCCUGAGCAAACUUUGUGCAGCAUCUAAAAAUGAGACAAUUUUACAUCAACCAAAACAAAAACAAGUAUAUACAGUGCCUGGGACAGGAUCUGUCUUCAAUACUUCAAUACUAGAGACAGCUGCUUCAGGAAAAUACCUUUAAAAAGGCUAAAACAGCAUUAAAAACAACAAUGCAACUAGAACAAGACCGCGAAACCCUUUCCUCACUCUAUUUGUGGAAAACAAAUAAUUAAAAUAUUAAGGAAGCACAUACUUCCAUAAGAAAUUGAAGUUAUCUACAGAGGAUGUCUCUUAUUUUUCAGUGAACUCAGCUUGCUACCACAUGCCUGUGCUUUUCCUUGUCUAUGUAUAGCAUGAGUUCCAAAGCAAGUUGUGACAUAAAUAAAUCACGUUCUAAGCUA
Canis lupus familiaris (dog) is the source of this 789-nucleotide long non-coding RNA. RefSeq lists it as uncharacterized. Lineage: Eukaryota; Metazoa; Chordata; Mammalia; Carnivora; Canidae. The transcript is spliced from 5 exons. The record is from RefSeq and is a predicted model, not a curated record.